RNAcentral lists this ribosomal RNA (497 nucleotides) under uncultured bacterium. RNAcentral describes it as "bacterial SSU rRNA". It matches the Rfam family "Bacterial small subunit ribosomal RNA", at positions 24 to 518 of the family's 1533-position model. The record is from RNAcentral.
UCAGGACGAACGCUAGCGGCGUGCCUAACACAUGCAAGUCGAACGAGAAGUCUUGAAAUGAUCCUCGGGAUGAAUGGAUAGAUGGACAGUGGCGGACGGGCGAGUAACGCGUGAGUAACCUGCCCAUAAGCGGGGGAUAGCCGAUGGAAACGUCGAGUAAUACCCCAUGACAUAAUUGAGUCGCAUGGCUUAAUUAUCAAAGAUUUAUCGUUUAUGGAUGGACUCGCGUCUGAUUAGAUAGUUGGUGAGGUAACGGCUCACCAAGUCGACGAUCAGUAGCCGAACUGAGAGGUUGAUCGGCCGCAUUGGGACUGAGACACGGCCCAGACUCCUACGGGAGGCAGCAGUGGGGGAUAUUGCGCAAUGGGGGGAACCCUGACGCAAGCAACGCCGCGUGCAGGAAGAAGGUCUUCGGAUUGUAAACUGUUGUCGCAAGGGAAGAAGACAGUGACGGUACCUUGUGAGAAAGUCACGGCUAACUACGUGCCAGCCGCCGC